CGGCAACAGCUCAAAUUUGAAAUCUGCCCGCAAGGGCCGAGUUGUAAUUUGUAGAGGAUACUUUUGAUGCGGUGCCUUCCGAGUUCCCUGGAACGGGACGCCAUAGAGGGUGAGAGCCCCGUCUGGUUGGAUGCCAAAUCUCUGUAAAGUUCCUUCAAC
This 159-nucleotide ribosomal RNA is filed under the name Fusarium oxysporum. RNAcentral describes it as "partial large subunit ribosomal RNA". It matches the Rfam family "Eukaryotic large subunit ribosomal RNA", at positions 99 to 261 of the family's 3401-position model. Lineage: Eukaryota; Fungi; Ascomycota; Sordariomycetes; Hypocreales; Nectriaceae. The record is from RNAcentral.